This 65-nucleotide transfer RNA is filed under the name Gastrothylax crumenifer. RNAcentral's name for it is "tRNA-Asp". Lineage: Eukaryota; Metazoa; Platyhelminthes; Trematoda; Plagiorchiida; Gastrothylacidae. The record is from RNAcentral.
UCAUUUCUAGUUUAUAAGUGUGAGAAUGUUAGUUUGUCGUACUAAAGGUGAUUGUUUGGAUCGAA